Non-coding RNA from Anas platyrhynchos (mallard), 3873 nucleotides. NCBI's taxonomy places the organism in Eukaryota, Metazoa, Chordata, Aves, Anseriformes, Anatidae. The record is from RefSeq and is a predicted model, not a curated record.
UCUGAUUUCAGAGGAGGCAGCAGCUUGGUGUGCAGCUGUCUGGGUGCAGCAGAGCCUCUCCCGCAGCUCCAUUUGUCAGCACGGGUAUGGCUGGAGCUCUGCUGCUGUGUCCCCUGUGGUGGGGCAGCCCCCAGGAAUCCCCUGUGAUGGGGUGGCCCCCAAGGACCCUUGGCUGGUACAGAGAUUAAUUUACUUUCAAGCAUGCGUGCAUGAGGACCACCACAACUGUGACAGUCUAAAGAACUACUUGCAUUCAAUCACCGUUUUCCAGCUCUGGUCUGGGCCGUGGAGCAGUGAAGGGGUCGGGGGGCUCUCCCUGGUGCAGCAGGGGGGAGCUGCCCUGCAGCGCGGUGCUGGUGGUGGAUCUGCUGCGGCACCCGGCCGAGCUGGGAUGAGGGAUGAGCUCGCAACGAGCACCGCAAAGGGACUAAUUAAGACUACUGCAGUGACAUUAUUCAGCGAGAAGACUGCUCAGGCUGCAGCCCAGCAGAACACUUACAAGUGAAUUUGAGGUUCAGCUUCUGAGUGGUUCCAAUUAACAAGAAGCACUUAAGGUUAGCAGAUAUGAAGAAGCUUCUCAGAUCAGCGUCUCUGUGAACUUCUCUGGGCCCGUCCACAAAAGCACCAUCCUCCUGCAGGGAACACGAGGAGCACCGAUAGCGGUGUGAAGGCCCUGAAGAAGCAUCGAAGCCCCAGACAGGGUGCUCCUCAGUGUCCCUGCAGUGUGCUCCUCUCCAUACAUAAAGAAACCCCCGGGGCCUGGAUGUUUGGAGCUGCUUGUGAGCGGAGUGGCAGCAGCCCUUGUGUGGAGGGAAGCUGUCCUCCCCUCCGCCCCUCGGCUUCAGGUACCUUACUGGGGUUUAUGGGAAGCAUUUAUUUGAUUUUGUUUUAAUGCACAAAUGCACAAAAGGAAAAACAUUUUGUUAUUUUACUACUUGAAAGAUUAGGACUGGUCUUUAAGAAGUCAGUGGUUGCUUUAUUAUCUGGUUCUGAUUUAUCCAACUGGUUUUCCAAGAGCAGGGUUCACGUGGAUAACUAGCAGCCUUGGGGUUGUAGCCGCCUUUCCCCCUAAACAGAAGUCACACAGACUUUCCUUCCCAGCGAAGUUGGGUGUUGAAGCAUGAAACGUUUGGAAAAAAAAAUCUCUACCUUAAUACCCUGCGAUGCGUUCAUAUGGGGUGGUGUGUCCCUAAGCUUGUCUGAAGCAACAACAAGGUCAAAAAUUAACAUGCUGAAACUUCCAGUAUUGGAGCAACAAAGGCAGCAGAUCUGUGUAAAAGGAGAAAUGAGCUAAUUCCAUGCUGCAAGGACUGGAAAUGCUGCAUGUUUCUUGUAAGAACAAAUACUGAAAAUGCUUAACAUUACCAGGCUUCCACGUGUUAUACAAUUUCUCAGUAGUAGCAGAGAAUUUUGAGUAACAAUACACAAUGAGCAAUCUUACAGAGAACUGUGUCUGAUGCUUAAAAAUUAAAGAAAAAAAGAAUUUGUAGAGCAAGGAGCAAUAGGGGACAAAAGUCCUUUUCUCACUUAAAACAAUUUUUCUAGAAUCACUGAAAGUGACUUAAACUACAGGUUUCUGCAGUUCAGAAAAAGCUGCACAGAAAAGGCACUGCUAGCCAUGCAGAUAGAAAAAAAAUAAAAAAUAAAUGAGAAAAACAACCAGCCAACCAAUGCCCAAGGUACGGAUUUCUUGUCAGACAUGGCUAUCCAACACAACCUUCCAAGGAAAAAAAGGUUUUCUUCUACCUGGCUUUAACUAUAUAUAUAUGUUUUUCUCUCUCUCAACAUGCAAAGUUCAAGGAAAAAGCUGUCUCCUACAGCUGUCCCUGUCAGCAUUGUGCAAUUUCAGACUGACUUGGCUGAAGGUGUGUGUUUGACAGAAAGGCGCAGUUGUAAUUUUUCAGACCUAGCUAGGGAUGCCAAAUAAAUCUAUAUCUUCUUGACAAUUACAUCUUUACAACAGCUUUGGAAAAAACAGCUAAAAAGUGAACUUAUUGACAAGCUUUCUUAUUAGAGGAAGGUCCUUUGGCAAGCCCUGUGAAAGCAACAUUUCAUGAUGGAUCUCGCAGAAGCAGCAGGUGUGGGAGGCCAGUUAGAAAUAGCUUUUUACUGACAAACUUUUAUUUUAGAGGAAAUUUUUCUAACAAAGCCUUAGCUUGAGUCAUUUUACAGUGGAUCUGUAAAAACACAUAUAUGAAGUAUAAGUAAUUUUUGCUCGAGUCAAACCACAAAGGAAAUUGGUUUCAAUGCUUGUGCUGAUGGCAUCUGUUAACAAAGGGGCCUAUUUGCAGGAGCUGGCUGAUGUGAACACAUACUGUGCAUUUCUUCAUUUCUGAGAGCAGCAAGGAAUGGCAGGGUAUGGAAAACCGAUGGCAGCAAAUUGUAAUGUCAGUGCCUUCGUCAGAAUGCUGCCCCUUUCCCUGGGUGUGAAUGAGGGGCUGCAUGGGGCUUGUCUGAAACUGCAACGGCUCCUUGGAAAUGACUGACUGCUGCAAGGGAAGGAUGGCUGGGAGAGAGAACAGCACUUACUGAUAACUCCUAGGAGUAACACUACAAGCCAAACGGGAAGCAUUUCUAAAGUCAAAUAUGAGAUUAAUUAACGUUAUGUGUGAUCUGGUUACACAGGAGAGCUCGAGCCUCCGAUUGUACUGCUUGUUCCACACUCAUAACUCCCCCACAGCUGAGCUGUCAGAGAGGACGAGUGUAGCUUAAUUUGGUUUGCUAUUUAGGACGUCUAUAUAUAAACUUAAAACAGGAAUAUAGGAUGUGACCCUGGGGGGAACCCUUAUCCACUCCUCCUCUAUUUGGCCUACUUCUGGUAAUUAUUUUUUUUCAAGUAGGUGCUUAUUCAUGAAGCUCAGCGCUCAUCUUAUAAUGAGUGUCUGUAAAUUCUGCCAAAAUGCAUUUUCUGGUGUUUUGUUGCAGGGAUCUUUAAAGCUGAGCAGACAGCUCUUACCUGCCAGCAGCGUAAAAAAGCGGUUCCUGUAGCAAGUGCUUUGCAACCUGCUGCAGCGUGGUCAGGACCCUGCUAGGGAUGGAGCCCUCCUGCUGUCCUCCUGGGCAAUGUCCCGCACGCCUGCACGGUGCCUGUGGUUGCUGUCAGCCCCAGUGGUGUUCCUGCACAGUCGUAGCAACUUAGCAGGACUGAGCUGGCCAAACAAGGAGGGAGUUCACCUGCCCAGAGGAGCUCGCAGAAAUCACAGCCUCUAAGUUCUGCAGAAAACAAAACAAGAAAGAGUGAAAUCAAUUCAGUGCUGGGAGAGAAGAAGCUGGCAGGACUCAAUAGUGAGCACCACCCAGUAGCUGGCCUGCUGGGUGCAAUAAUAUUGAAGCAAAAAUCAAAGCGACUCUUGCAGAAGCUGCGAGCAAUAGAUGAGCUGUCUAAAUGGUGCAGCGCUGCGAGGACUCAGAAUGCGAGGCAGAGGCAAACACGGGGAGGGAGGCCUAUUUGUUUGAGCAGGGGGCAAUUAAAUCUCCUGGUGGAAUGUGAACAUCCAGCUUGGGAUGGAAAUGCAACCAAACACACAGUGAGGUUGAUCAGAGAUUAAAAGAAAGCAUGAGAAUUCGGCCUUGCAAACGUUGCGCUGGCCCCAUUAGCUGCCGGGGUGCAGACCCCUUGUUUUGUGGACCCCUCCUCUCUGCAGACCCCUCGUCUCUGCUGCUGGUGGGUGUGUGUGGCUCAGCCUUCACAGCACCGAGCACCCGAGGGGUGCCAGCUGGAGGGGGCCCCUCCAAACCAGCCUAAAGCAGGUCGUGCUGCUGGGCGGGGAUGCCCCAUUUUGGAAAAAAGAGGAAAAUAUGGAGCUGAUUAUAUCCAUUUGCCUCACAGCAUUGCUGUGUAUUGAAAUCCCAUACCUAAACAGGAAAAUCAUA